RNAcentral lists this long non-coding RNA (451 nucleotides) under Pogona vitticeps (central bearded dragon). RNAcentral's name for it is "lncRNA (ENSPVIG00000002855.1)". The record is from RNAcentral. Lineage: Eukaryota; Metazoa; Chordata; Lepidosauria; Squamata; Agamidae.
CACUAAGAGCCACAGAAGGGGAAGAUGAACUGCUCUUACUUCAAUGCUUUAUUCUUUAAUUUAUGCAGAUGGCCCUGCAAUAGAAACUUUUAAAGAGUGAGACAUGAAAGAAGACUCGAGAUGGGCAGAUCUGUCAGUUGUGCUUUCUCCCACAUUGACGCCUCUCCAAAUGAAAAGAUGGCAACACUCAAGGAUGAAUACAUAUUCGACCCCCACUUUUAAGAGGAUUGUCUAUGUAAAGCACUACAAGAAUUUUUGCUUUGCUCUGAAAAAAAUAUAUACGGGCCUGCUCCCUUCUAGCUGUUCAUAAAGACACAGUGGAUGCAUUGAAUGGGAUUUGUUUUUGUAGAAGAGAUGGAAGGAGUGAGUGAGGAGAGAGGGACAAACAGGCAAAUUGCCUGAAGCAGGCUGUUGGACAGGUAAGUCGGAGACCAAAACUGAUGAGGCAGAA